GAAAUGCGAUACGUAAUGCGAAUUGCAGAAUUCAGUGAAUCAUCAAAUCUUUGAACGCAACUUGCGCUCUCGGGUAGCCCUGGGAGCAUACCCCUUCGAGUGUCUUUUCUAACCAAACUCGCCUGCGUGCUCACAAGGCGCGCUGGGCGGAGAGUGGGCUUCUCCUUGCGAAUAGCGAUGGAGUGGCCUCAAGGAAAGUGAACCUUUCGCUCAUCACGUUGAGUUAUUCAACUUGCUGAUGUCGUUAACUUUCGGCCGAUGCCGGAACCAUACACAUCGGGCAUGGGAUGCUCAGUUAUGCGGGAUGCUGUGAAGGUUUCCUCGGUCGUUGGAGCUUGCAUUCACUUGCGAGUUUUCCAGGACAACACCUCGAUUUUGACCUCGAAUGGAGUAAGAACAC
This 400-nucleotide unclassified non-coding RNA is filed under the name uncultured fungus. RNAcentral's name for it is "sequence contains ITS1". The stretch from base 1 to 105 matches the Rfam family "5.8S ribosomal RNA", at positions 50 to 154 of the family's 154-position model. Lineage: Eukaryota; Fungi. The record is from RNAcentral.